Pelobates cultripes (western spadefoot toad) is the source of this 1517-nucleotide non-coding RNA. Lineage: Eukaryota; Metazoa; Chordata; Amphibia; Anura; Pelobatidae. The record is from the annotation of a GenBank genome assembly.
GGGUCAAAGUUUACUCAAUGAUGAGUUCGUGGCAAACCGUUCGUGGUGAACCGUUCGUGAACCGUUCGCGAACCGUUCGCGAACCAUUCGGGACAUCACUAUAUAUAUAUAUAUAAUAUUCUGGAUAGAGCUCUCAGGACUUUUCAAAUAGUAAAGCUAUUUCCUGAUGAAAGUUUGUGUGUAACAAACUGAAACGUAGAUUUUAUUUAUGUGAAGCUAAUUAAAAGCUAAGUUUUUCUAUUUGACAAGUCCUGAGGGUGUCAAAUAUAUGUAUUUUGCUUGACAAGCACUGGGCAAGUUACUGGAUUUAUGGAGUGCAAGAUCUUUUUAAAUUUUAUACAUAUACAUUUACUGGCCCUAUCCAUGGCAGCACAACAAUGGGUAGCUCCUCCCUAUGCCUAAUUAGACAGGAACCUAAUUAAAACAGAAGGUAUAAGUAACUCCUACCCCUUCCAUCCUCAGUCUUUUUGUUCCUGACCUAUUCCUAGGACAGACUUAGUCUUUUCAGGACUAAAAACUUUUUCUUUUAUGGCUUACCUGAAGAUAAUCUUUUUCUCUGGCCCCUUGGGAGUUCAGCCUCUCUCCCUAGGGAAGUCUCCAGUACACGGCCGUUCACAAAGGUGACCCCUUAGAGAAACCCCUUGAGUGACCAGGGGUUCUAACUUGCUGUGACCCGAGGGGUAGCAAGAUCAUGCCCUUGGGAACACAACCCUCCGCAAAGGUGGCCCCCUGGAGAAACCCCUUUAGUGACCAUGGGUUCUAACUUACCCUGAUGGGGUAGCAAGAUCAGGCCAUCACCAUAAUUCUUGCAGUGACCCAAGGAGUAGCAAGCUGGACAUGCACAUACAGAGCAUAUGGAUUGCAAGGAUUAAUAUGACAUUGACUAACAUUAAAUCGCUAAAAGAGUUAAUGUGAUGCUGACUAGCAUUCUAUCGCUGAAAGGGUUAAAGUGCAAUCCUGCUGUCUUGUACUUUCCCAUGGAUUUACUUGCUGUGACCAUAGGGGUAGCACGAUUAUACCAUCACCCUAUUUCCUGCAGUCACCAAAGAGUAACAGGCUGUGCAUGCACAUUCAGAGCAUAUAUAAGAAUAUAACUCCUCUUACCCUUCAUCAAUUUCAGCUGGAUGGUAAGAGAUUCCUGACAAUUUUCAUUUCAAGCAAAUAAAUGUUAAAAUCCUUCUUCCCAGGCAUCUGUGUAGGUUUCUGUUAUGCCUUUUAAUACAGCCGCUGGAUUCUCUUAUUGCUAGGCUUCUAUGGCUUUUGUAAAGACUUGUCUUUACCUGUGUGUCUCGCUUCCUCAAUUCCAACUCUCUCCCAAUGCUCAUUCAGUGUCUCCUUUCCCAAGGAUACCUCCUCCCCUCGUGCUGUCUCGGUUGGAGUUCCCCAAGGGUCUGUCCUUGGUCCCCUUCUAUUUUCUCUUUUUAUACAGCCUCUCUUGGCAAACUUAUUGCCUCUUUUGGAUUCCACUACCACACUAGGCCUAGGAAUAUGAAAAUCCAACUGCUAUAUAAAGAGGC